AUGUACCCGCACCUUCCGAUUCCUCCGCACCGUCCGCACCCAACCUGACGAUUGUUCGCUCUGUCUGUUAGCC
Molecule: small RNA, 73 nt
Filed under: Xanthomonas campestris
Lineage: Bacteria; Pseudomonadati; Pseudomonadota; Gammaproteobacteria; Lysobacterales; Lysobacteraceae
Description: sX9 sRNA
Rfam family: Xanthomonas sRNA sX9
Source: RNAcentral